CCUAUAUACCUCUAAACUCCUGAAUAUAUACCUCUAGCAGUCGCAUACCCUGUUCUAGGGUUAAUAAUAGUCUUGCAAGGUUCAUACCUGGCCAGUGUUCUUGAGAAAAGCUGCUGGAUCGUUGUGUGGUCGAGUAUUCUAUAACGGAUGGGAGUGGGACAAUGGAGUUGGAUAUCCACAUGCAGGCUUUAUUUACAGAAAGAGCGUAGUCGUACAGGCAUUGGGUCAAACACCAGCAAACAGUAACAGAACAAGGAACAGUAGGCAGAAAAAGGAACAGAUGGAAAUACACAGAAACUGAUGGGAAACAGGUGUGAGUAUGUGAUUAGUCCAUAUAACCAAGGUGAUUAACACAGACCCAGGGCACACAUAACAUCACUGUACAUUCCACAGUAUUCUUUAUACAGAUGAAUAUUAUGCAAUUUUACAUGUUAUCUCAUGAAACCACAGUGUUUGGUAGUGUAAGGAUUUUCUUGUUAAAAUUGCAGAAAGAUUUAAAGAUAACAAAACUUUUAGUUUCAGUCUUUCCUCAGGAGCAUUUGUCAGUCAGUGGGUGGGGACAUGGCUUCUGGGCACUUAAAUAGAUCUCUGUAUAGUCAAGUAGAAUCCAGAUGACUGCUUUGAAGAGCUGCAUGAACACUUGACAAAGACUUUGCUGUGACAUCUGUUUACAUCUCCAACAAUGAGCUGUUACCACUGUCACCACUGUCACUGUGGGAGGAUAUUAAGGUGCGGGGCUUCUAGGCACAGUGGACAUCAGAAUGAUUAUUAUGAUGAUGAGAUGGCUGUUUCUCAGAGCUUUACAACUUCUCUUCCAAGAAAUGGCGAGGUGAAUCGCCAUAUCAAUUUAGGGGGUGGUCUUUAUGGCUUUCAGAAAAUAAUCCUGAGGAAUGGAAAAGUGGUUUAUUCUAAAGAAAGGAUAUAUGCUGCACAUUAAGAUCCGAUGCACAUCAUCCAAUAAUACCCAUCAUCAACUAAUUUUAUCCAUUAUUGCUUUGUCUCCAAGCUAAUUUCAGGUUGAUUCUUUUACUCUACUUUUCUAUUUACUUUACCUUAAUUUGUUAUAACUAGUACAAUUACUAUAAUUCUGUUUUAUGUAAAUCAUCUGUCAAUAAACAUCUGAAAUAAAAAAAUAAAUAAAAUUAAAGUCAUUUUUGGGUUGCUGUUUAUCCUCAUUUUUACCCCACGUUUGUUUUCCACUUUUCUUUUUUGGCUUUACAGGAAGCCACAUUAUAAUGCAGUAUGGCCUUCAUUAGUAUUGCUGAGGAUUCAUUUGAC
Molecule: long non-coding RNA, 1278 nt
Organism: Megalobrama amblycephala (Wuchang bream)
Lineage: Eukaryota; Metazoa; Chordata; Actinopteri; Cypriniformes; Xenocyprididae
Exons: 4
Source: RefSeq, a predicted model, not a curated record